Long non-coding RNA from Chroicocephalus ridibundus (black-headed gull), 3540 nucleotides. RefSeq lists it as uncharacterized. The record is from RefSeq and is a predicted model, not a curated record. The transcript is spliced from 3 exons. NCBI's taxonomy places the organism in Eukaryota, Metazoa, Chordata, Aves, Charadriiformes, Laridae.
GAAUCCGAGGAGGGAAAGGGCUGAACGGGGACCAGGCUGCCGCGGGGGGCGGCUGACAGACCGCGGCAGCAGCCACGUCCCCCAGGGAGUUCAGGACAACAGCGAUUAAACGCUGGAGACGAACAGACGAGCCCCGUUCAGAAGCGUUUCCAAGCCCCUCGGUCCCCAGUUCCACCCCAGAGCGGAUGUAAAACCAAACGAACGCCCUCACGCAGGUCGGGGUUACGACACGAGAGGAUGGGGGCCGAUAGUUGUAGUUCCCAGGAUAAUCCAGUGCCGCCCAGUGCUCUCGGGCUUAGAAACUUCAGCUGAGAGGCCGGGCAGCGCUUAACCACAGCGGCAAGGCCGAGCGGGGGGGACACGGCCUUGUCGCAGGGCGGGAGUGCGUGCGCCUCACCCGCCCGCAGCGCAGCCCGCCGAGGGACGCUGCGGAGAGAGUCCUCGUCCUCAGUCGGCACCAGAGUUAAUUAGUGGCCCCUUUGGCCUCCCCCGUUACAGUCAGGGAUGGGUCAGGGCCCGCACACAUCUAUCUCCCAGUCCCGCUGCGAUGACCAUUACGUAAGCCUUUUUCUAAUUUGCUACAACUAUUGUGGUUCUUCAGCUAACCAAGAAAAAAAAAAACAACCACACACAGGAAGGCACUAUGGCAAAGUCUCAUGGCUUGCCAAAUAGUCUCUAUGAAAAGGAAAGAGAGCAAAGAAAGAGAGCAAAAACAAAGAGCUGCUUAGGGAAGAAUUUUCUCAUGAAUACAUGAACUUUGGUAUACUGAGCAAUGAUGAAAAAUACAGAACAUUAGCAACUUCCCAUUACGUGUAAGAGUAGAAAACACAAAUGUCUCUACAGCCAGCGGUAAAGAACAGUUUGUCAGUGUCUGCUUUUGGAUAUGAAUGGGUGCAAAGUGAUUGCAUGAGGGACUGCACAAUUUGCACCACUGAUGGCGUAACUGACCUACAAAUAGGAUAAAAGGAACCUGCUCUCACACAUCCAAGUAACGGCAACACGCACAACCUUCACCACGAUAAUUCUGUGUCUAACCGCACGUUUCCUACCAGAGACCCGCACGGCAACAGCUCUGGUACUUGACCAAUGUGCUCAUACUCAGGUGAAUGAGAGAUGCAAAUAGAGAAGAAAAAAUUCAAAGGCCUGGCAAGUACAACGUAUGAAGAGUGUGGGCGUGCUAAAUGACAGCAGCAUGGGUGAAUUCAAGUUUCUGCUUGACAUCGAAGUCCUCUGCUCUGGUUCUGAUUCCACAUCCUGGGGUUCCACAAGAGGCUGUCUCAGAAUCUUUCAGAGGAACAACAAAUUAAGUAACAUAUCCGCUGCCCCUUAAAAUUUGUAACUAGAAGACACUGUGAUAAAAACUACUGAUUGUACAUCUUAAAAAUAUUUUAUCAUCACUUCGGCUGGCUACUUUUGCUGUAAGCUCCACAUGAAGUGUGACAGAACUAGUGGUGGGUACCGGAGGGCGAGUGCUUAGACGGACCCUUCUCGCCAACCCCGUUGGAGAGAAUCCCCCCACGCGCCACGCGAGCACCUUCACCGUCCACGUAUAAACCCGUGUGACGGGCCCUGGUCAGCUGCCACUGCUCGGGGAAGACAGUGCAGUCACCACUACUGGAAAUAUCGAUGCUUAGCAUUAGUAAGAAAUGCAGCAACAGGAACGUUUCAGAAAUGAAUCAUGAACACCGUUACCUCACCGCAGAAAUGCAUGAACAAACUUGAAAGCUGCAGGUAGCUUGAAUGAUUUCCCCUCAAAAAUGGGGUAGCUGAACAAAAAGGAGGCACAAGAAAGUUACCAAGAUCAAUCAAUUGGAUGCACUGAGCAGGUUCUGUGCAAAGAUUCUACAGUCCAAAACUGUUCAUCUUGGAAGGCAGAUGCAUCAGGGGAGUGAAAUGGCAAAUAAAAGAGCUACGGAGCUACGAAAAUGGUCAAAGGGGUGAAGAGAGGACAAACACUUCUUGGGGAAAAAAAGGGCUCUGGAGCCCAGUUAAAUUACUAAGCUAAGAACGGUGCAUACUUUCAAACAAAGCAGAACUAAAUCUUGCAACUCUGUCAAAGGGUGUAGUAGAAGCUGUAAAUACAGUUGCUGCCGGCAUCAACAUGAUAGACUUGCCGUGAGCUUCACAGUCUAAUUACAAGUACCAUAAAAUAUCCCUGACCGUGUAACGCUACAGCAGAGAGAACAUAAGCACGUUUGAAAGAAAACAAACCCCUGAAGUUGUCUGGUUUUUUUUUUAUAUAUACACACACACACAUAUAAAGUGUAAUAUAUAUCUAAUAUGUAAUAUAUGCAUCCAUAUAUUAACAUUAUAUAUAUAUUAUAUAGAUCAUAGAUAUCUGAUUAGUAUUAAUUAAUAAAAACCUAUGUGUUUGCAGAUACACAAUACACGAAUAUUCCACUUCAGAAAUUCUGAAAUUGCUGUACAUUAACAGGUACAUUUUAAUUCUCAGAGCUGACAAUUACAGCUUUUAAUCAAAAGAAGACCCUCUCUUGAUGGAAAACAAGCAAGAAUUGUCAAAUAGGUUCUGAAUCUACAUAACUGCAAAUUUUUGCCCCAUAGAAAAAGAAUUACCUACUUAGAAAAACUUGCCAAAAGCAGCCGUAGUCUCCGUCUCCUGAUGCGUACAAUCCAGAUAAAGGAUAAAAGUUUUCAAAUUUAUAAGUUACUAGAAGUUACUAAAAAAUAAGUUACCAGAACUGAUUUGCCAAUCAAUUUACAAAUUUGUCCUGUCCUCAAUCUGGUCUAAAAGCUGGAUUGCUACCUAUUCCUUUAUUUUAAUCUGUAAUUUUUGUGCAAAUCAUUCCUCUGAUUUUGGCCGAAUAUUGCUUUAUGUUGAAUGUACUCUAUGACUAAUAAAAAAGGAAAAUUCAAGAGACAGAAAGAGUGUUUGACGGACUCAAACCAAACAAAGGUUCAGCAUGAGAUACAGAACACCGUGUAGAUCACUGCAUUGGAAAUGACCGAAGCUAUUGCAUUACACACAGACAAGUUUUUGUCCUUUUGAUCUUUUUCUACUUCGAAAUUGCUGAUACACACACACAAAUGAAGGAAACAGCUAUAAUUAACCAUUCAGAAGGGGUUCUAUGCACAGAGUGCAACACAAGAGCACAAGAAAUUCUGCACAAUAGGAAUAUGGUGAAGUUGAGCAGUUCAUGGGUGUGGGAUAACCCUUCCCAUCAUCUGCGGGCUGAGUUAGCCCAUAUUCACAGGGCAGCUGCGAGGCUACGGAGGCAGCCAAAGCCUGGGAGGACACCACUCGUGUGCAGUCACCAACCCCAGCAGCUGCCGGCACCGCACGUGUCAGCGAACAGAACCCGCUGCCACCAGAGCUCCCGGAUCAGAACCAGGGAGCCUUCACCACCCCGUCCGCAUCUCCCGUGGAGGGGGCAGCUCUGAACCCAGCCUGGUCAGAGGACGGUGAGAUGUGGGGAGCAGAGUAGAAGAGAUGUUGUUUAUCACAAGACGGAUCCUCUACCCAAACUAUCUCUGAGAACCAAGAAUCUGCAGGUAGCUCAGUAUGCUCCCAGCACGUACUCA